GAUGAACGCUGGCGGCGUGCCUAAUACAUGCCAGUCGAACGCUGAAGGAAGGAGCUUGCUCUUUCCGGAUGAGUUGCGAACGGGUGAGUAACGCGUAGGUAACCUGCCUGGUAGCGGGGGAUAACUAUUGGAAACGAUAGCUAAUACCGCAUAACAGUAGAUGUUGCAUGAUAUCUACUUAAAAGGUGCAAUUGCACCACUACCAGAUGGACCUGCGUUGUAUUAGCUAGUUGGUGAGGUAACGGCUCACCAAGGCGACGAUACAUAGCCGACCUGAGAGGGGGAUCGGCCACACUGGGACUGAGACACGGCCCAGACUCCUACGGGAGGCAGCAGUAGGGAAUCUUCGGCAAUGGACGGAAGUCUGACCGAGCAACGCCGCGUGAGUGAAGAAGGGUGUCGGAUCGUAAAGCUCUGUUGUAAGAGAAGAACGAGUGUGAGAGUGGAAAGUUCACACUGUGACGGUAGCUUACCAGAAAGGGACGGCUAACUACGUG
This 497-nucleotide ribosomal RNA is filed under the name uncultured bacterium. RNAcentral describes it as "partial 16S ribosomal RNA". It matches the Rfam family "Bacterial small subunit ribosomal RNA", at positions 28 to 507 of the family's 1533-position model. The record is from RNAcentral.